GCGCUGCCUGACGCCCGUACAGGCGCCGCUGGUGGAUAAAUAGAAGUGUCCAGACGUAGCUGAACUGGAUGUGGAGGCUACGCGGCGGCUGUCAGAGGCGAGGGGAAGGCGGAGAAUGGAGCCAGGCGUGAUAGUUUAAAAAGGACUUAAAAGAAACGAUAUGUCAAGUCCCCUUUGUUAGUGACGUGGGAAAAGCAUUGCAAGUGGGUUCCUACCAGUUGCUCUGAAAAACCCUCCCACGACACCCUGCUGACCUGAGACCAGAAAUUCUGGAGCCUCUCUGCCUGCAGCGGAGACCUCUCACUGAAGCCCUGGGGGCCGGGACUGUUUCCACAGCUAUGCAGUGAGUUCAUAGGAAACUGUGAGUUUCCCCAGCACUUGUAGCAACUCCAUUUGUUGGCCUUGGCCAACAGCACUCGGGAUCCUGCCCUACUUUCCAGAAGGCUCGUGUUGCCUGAUGCUGGAUCAUCCUCAUAUGUGACUGCAGAGGCGCUUGUCCUGAUUUGUAGCAGUAUGGGACGGGGGCUCUGUGUGUGUGUGUGUGUGUGUGUGUGUGUGUGUGUGUGUGUGUGUGUGCCAGCAAGC
This is a long non-coding RNA of Canis lupus familiaris (dog), 585 nucleotides long. RefSeq lists it as uncharacterized. NCBI's taxonomy places the organism in Eukaryota, Metazoa, Chordata, Mammalia, Carnivora, Canidae. The transcript is spliced from 3 exons. The record is from RefSeq and is a predicted model, not a curated record.